This is a transfer RNA of Zancudomyces culisetae, 73 nucleotides long. It matches the Rfam family "tRNA". Rfam says of the family: Transfer RNA (tRNA) molecules are approximately 80 nucleotides in length. Their secondary structure includes four short double-helical elements and three loops (D, anti-codon, and T loops). The record is from Rfam. Lineage: Eukaryota; Fungi; Kickxellomycota; Harpellomycetes; Harpellales; Legeriomycetaceae.
GGUCGCGUGGCCUAAUCGAUAAGGCGUCAGAAUAUGGGUCUGAAGAUUGUGGGUUCGAGUCCCACAGUGAUAG